Gymnodraco acuticeps is the source of this 1003-nucleotide long non-coding RNA. RefSeq lists it as uncharacterized. The record is from RefSeq and is a predicted model, not a curated record. The transcript has 2 exons. NCBI's taxonomy places the organism in Eukaryota, Metazoa, Chordata, Actinopteri, Perciformes, Bathydraconidae.
CCGGUGGACACAAACCAUGAUAAAGUAGCGGUGUGUGAAGGCUGCAUACUUUGUACAAUUGUAUCUACACAAUGGUGGGUGUUCUCCUCCCUUGAAUAAUGGAAACCCCAUUUAACAGAGGACUUUGGAGCCAUACGUAGGAAUUACAGGGCCAGCCUGCCUAGGCUCCAACAGAGACUGUCAACACAUAUCAGUGUUCAAAGUAGUAUGAGUGAUCUUACAGAGUUUGAAAGAUGCCAAAUUGUUGCUGCACGCCUGUCCGGUGCAUCUGUCACCAAAACUGCUCAGCUGUUUAAUGUGGCAAGAGGAACAGUCUCCAGGGUCAUGACUGUAUACAUCAAACAUGGACGAACAGCAUCCGCAAAGAAGAACAGUGGGCGCAAGUCUAAGCUCACCGAAAAGGAUAGACAGAUACUUCUGAGGAUAGUCGAUGAGCACCCUGAGUAUACAGCCUCAAAGAUAACCUCAGAGUUAAACAGACAUCUAUCUCACACUGUCUCAGUGAAAACUAUACGGCGAGAGCUUCACAAAGCUGGUAUUUUUCGAGGAGCAGCCAGUCGGAAAACAGAGACCGAAACUGACGGACUGGAGUCAGAUGAAAACAUUGAUAAAACUGAACCUGACAAAGAGUCUGGCGUACAGAAACCUGGUGGAGAAAACACAACACCUGAUCUACAAACAAGUGACAAAGAGUUUGGCACACAAAUCUCUGUGGGAGACAAUUUAAUAUCUGAACACCGGGCUAGUGUCGAAGAUUACAACAAAGACACAUCUGAAAAGAGAAUAGAUCCUGCAUCACAAAUCAGUGAAGAAGAGUACACACACACCUGAUGAAGAGAGCACAGGACUUGAACCUCUGAACAGUUAAAAGGACUAACUUGUUGCGUUUCAGCAUUUCUAAUCCACAUUGGUCAUGUUAAUGGAAAACCACAGAAUGCCUUCAUCUCUUUAUCUGCCAACUGUGUCAUGCGAUGGCUCUGAUUAUUAAAGCGUGUUAUAUGUA